Molecule: non-coding RNA, 881 nt
Organism: Leopardus geoffroyi (Geoffroy's cat)
Lineage: Eukaryota; Metazoa; Chordata; Mammalia; Carnivora; Felidae
Source: the annotation of a RefSeq genome assembly
CAAAUAUACCUGUACUCACUGAAUACAAUUAUUCAAAUUGUCACAGCACCAUCUACACAAACUAAACUACAAGUGCGUCCCUAACUCUGUCGUUCAUUUUUAAAGAAUCAAAUCUAAGAAUGGAGCUUGAUAUAUAUGUCAGAGCACAUGCAAAUGGGGUCCUCUCUGUGCUGAUAAAACCAGCCCAUCUCAGACUCUGCAGCUGGGAGAGCAGCCCCAGCCCCGGAGUCCCAGUUGUUCCCAUUCUCUGAUCAGGACAGAACAGACACCUCACCAUGGACUUUGAGCUUGGCUGGGUUUUCCUGGUUGCUCUUUUAAAAGGUGUCCAGUGUGACGUGCAGCUGGUGGAGUCUGGGGGAGACCUGUUGCAGCCUGGGGGGUCCCUGAGACUCACCUGUGUGGCCUCUGGAUUCACCUUCAGUAGCUAUGGAAUGAGCUGGGUUCGCCAGGCUCCAGGAAAGGGGCUGCGCUGGCUCGCAUAUAUUCAUACUGAUGGAAGUAGCACAAACUAUGCAGACUCUGUGAAGGGCCGAUUCCCCAUCUCCAGAGACAACUCCAAGAACAUGCUGUAUCUGCAGAUGAACAACCUGCAGGCCGAGGACAAGGCCACAUAUUACUGUGCAAGAGACAGGGUGAGGGGACCUCGCUGGGAGCCCAGACACAAACCUCCCUGCAGGAGGGGAUCAGCACCACCAGGGGGCGCACACUGUGCACAAUUCUGCUUUGUGUUGCCAGGAGCAGGUGUAGAUGGAGGUUACAGGCAGGUUUCCUCUCAGGGUGUGGGGCUUCCUCUCCACACAGCAGUUUCUCCAGGGAGCCUCUCUGGACACAGAAUUCUGUGUUUACCUAUUAGCUGUGUGAAUUAGAUCAUUGUUUUCCUA